RNAcentral lists this ribosomal RNA (588 nucleotides) under uncultured bacterium. Its description in RNAcentral is "partial 16S ribosomal RNA". It matches the Rfam family "Bacterial small subunit ribosomal RNA", at positions 355 to 1375 of the family's 1533-position model. The record is from RNAcentral.
UGGGGAAUUUUGGACAAUGGGCGCAAGCCUGAUCCAGCCAUUCCGCGUGCAGGAUGAAGGCCCUCGGGUUGUAAACUGCUUUUGUACGGAACGAAAAGGCCUAGGCUAAUACCUUGGGCUCAUGACGGUACCGUAAGAAUAAGCACCGGCUAACUACGUGCCAGCAGCCGCGGUAAUACGUAGGGUGCAAGCGUUAAUCGGAAUUACUGGGCGUAAAGCGCGCGCAGGCGGUGAUGUAAGACGGAUGUGAAAUCCCCCGGGCUCAACCUGGGAACUGCAUUCGUGACUGCAUCGCUGGAGUGCGGCAGAGGGGGGAUGGAAUUCCGCGUGUAGCAGUGAAAUGCGUAGAUAUGCGGAGGAACACCGAUGGCGAAGGCAAUCCCCUGGGCCUGCACUGACGCUCAUGCACGAAAGCGUGGGGAGCAAACAGGAUUAGAUACCCUGGUAGUCCACGCCCUAAACGAUGUCAACUGGUUGUUGGUCCUUCACUGGAUCAGUAACGAAGCUAACGCGUGAAGUUGACCGCCGUGGGGAGUACGGCCGCAAGGUUGAAACUUAAAUGAAUUGACGGGGUCAUAGCUGUUUCCU